UACGGGGGGGGCAAGCGUUGUUCGGAAUUACUGGGCGUAAAGGGCUCGUAGGUGGCCAAUUAAGUCAGACGUGAAAUCCCCCGGCUUAACCUGGGAACUGCGUCUGAUACUGGAAGGCUUGAGUAUGGGAGAGGGAUGUAGAAUUCCAGGUGUAGCGGUGAAAUGCGCAGAUAUCAGGAGGAACACCGGUGGCGAAGGCGGGUCUCUGGGCCGAUACUGACGCUGAGGAGCGAAAGCGUGGGGAGCAAACAGG
RNAcentral lists this ribosomal RNA (253 nucleotides) under uncultured bacterium. RNAcentral's name for it is "partial 16S ribosomal RNA". It matches the Rfam family "Bacterial small subunit ribosomal RNA", at positions 524 to 776 of the family's 1533-position model. The record is from RNAcentral.